Oncorhynchus nerka (sockeye salmon) is the source of this 3811-nucleotide long non-coding RNA. RefSeq lists it as uncharacterized. The transcript has 4 exons. NCBI's taxonomy places the organism in Eukaryota, Metazoa, Chordata, Actinopteri, Salmoniformes, Salmonidae. The record is from RefSeq and is a predicted model, not a curated record.
AUUGUGGGAAGGUCGUGAUUUAAUCGCGCGUCGCGUUGAUUCCUCCAGGCCACAUAAAGCACUGUUGCGUGGGAGUCCAUUCUUUACUAAUUUCUGGAUAAAUUAAUAUUGAAGUAAAUUACUUUUGAAAAGCAUUAUACUAGCAUAAGCAAACCAUGGCAAACUUUUGCGCAGCUCCAAAUUGCACCAUAAAAAGUAAUCGGUCAGCAUCGCUAUUCAAGUUUCCAAUGGACACUGAAACAUGCAAGCAGUGGGUGGAAAACUGUCAUGGCAAGGAUCUUGAAGAUAAAACACCUGACCAGCUGAACAGACACUACAGACUUUGUGCUAAGCAAUUUGAACCAUCCAUGAUUUGUAAAGCAAGUGAAGAUGAAGCAAGGCAAAUGAAAUUGAGGAAAAAUUCUCUCAAGCUCUGUCAGGUUGGAUGGGGAGCGUCGCUGUACAGCUAUUUACAGAUCUCUCCAGAAAUGUUCGAUCGGUUCAAGUCCGGGCUCUGGAUGGGCCACUCAAGGACAAUCAGAGACUUGUCCCAAAGCCACUCCUGUGUUGUCCUGUUGGAAGGUGAACCUUCACCCCUGUCUGAGGUCCUGAGCACUCUGGAGCAGGUUUUCAUCAAGGAGCUCUCUGUACUUUGCUCCGUACAUCUUUCCCUCAAUCCUGACUUGUCUCACUGCCACUGAAAAACAUCCCCAUAGCAUGAUGAUUAUGCUGCCAGCACCACCGUGUUUCACCGUAGGGAUGGUGCCAGGUUUCCUCCAGACGUGAUGCUUGGCAUUCAGGCUAAAGAGUUCAAUCUUGGUUUCAUCAGACCAGAGAAUCUUGUUUUUCAUGAUCCUUUAGAAUUUGCCAAAAGGCACCUAAGCGGGCUGUCAUGUGCCCUUCACUGAGGAGUGGCUUCCAUCUGGCCACUGUAUUGGCCUGAUUGGCGGAGUGCUGCAGAAAUGGUUGUCCUUCUGGAAGAUUCUCCCAUCUCCAGAGGAAAUCUGGAGCUCUGUCAGAGUGACCAUCAGGUUCUUGGUCAUCUCUUUGACCAAUGCCCUUCUCCACUGAUUGCUCAGUUUGGCCUGGUGACCAGCUCUAGGAAGAGUCUUGGUGGUUCCAAACUUCUUACAUUUAGGAAUGAUGGAGGCCACUGUGUUCUUGGGGACCUUCAAAUCUGCAGAUUUUUUUUGGUACCCUUCCCCAGAUCUGUGCCUCGACACAAUCUUGUCUCUGCGCUCUACGGACAAUUCCUUCAACCUCAUGGCUUGGUUUUUGCUCUGACAUACACUGUCAACUGUGGGACCUUUUAUAUAGGCAGGUUUGUGCCUUUCCAAAUAAUGUCCAAUCAAUUGAAUUUACCACAGGUGGACUCCAAUAAAGUUGUAGUAACACCAAGGAGGAUCAAAGGAAACAAUGCACCUGAGCUUAAUUUCGAGUCUCAUAGCAAAGGUUCUGAAUACUUAUUUAAAUAUGCUAUUUUUUAUUUGUAAUACAUCAACAACAAAAACUAUAAGCUCUUUUCUCUUUGUCAUUAUGGGGAAUUGGGUGUAAAUUGAGGGGGGGGGUAUUUCAAUUUUAGAAUAAAGCUGUAACAUAAAAUGUGGAUAAAGUCAAGGGGUCUGCAUACUUUCUGAAUGCUUUGCAAUGCAAUAAUAUUCUAGGAUUAAAUUGAAUGACUAGUGUGGAUGUAUUUCCCUUUUCAUCAUGAGACAAUGCCCUAUCACUGAGGCUAGGUAACAUGGUCACCACCGAUUAAAUCCAUGAUUAUCGAAAACUUCAUGCCAUGCCUUCCUCCUGGCUACUCCAAACUCGGCCAACAGCCCCCCCGCAGCUACUCGUCCAAGCUUCUCCAGCUUCUCCUUUACCCAAAACCAGAUAGCAGAUGUUCUGAAAGAGCUGCAAAACCUGGACCCGUACAAAUCAGCUGGGCUUGACAAUCUGGACCCUCUAUUUCUGAAACUAUCCGCCGCCAUUGUCGCAACCCCUAUUACCAGCCUGUUCAACCUCUCUUUCAUAUCGUCUAAGAUCCCCAAGGAUUGGAAAGCUGACGCAGUCAUCCCCCUCUUCAAAGGGGGAGACACCCUGGACCCAAACUGUUACAGACCUAUAUCCAUCCUGCCUAUCUAAGGUCUUCGAAAGUCAAGUCAACAAACAGGUCACUGACCAUCUCGAAUCCCACCGUACCUUCUCCGCUGUGCAAUCUGGUUUCCGAGCCGGUCACGGGUGCACCUCAGCCACGCUCAAGGUACUAAACGAUAUCAUAACCGACAUCGAUAAAAGACAGUACUGUGCAGCCGUCUUCAUCGACCUGGCCAAGGCUUUCGACUCUGUCAAUCACCAUAUUCUUAUCGGCAGACUCGGUAGCCUCGGUUUUUCUAAUGACUGCCUUGCCUGGUUCACCAACUACUUUGCAGACAGAGUUCAGUGUGUCAAAUCGGAGGGCAUGUUGUCCGGUCCUCUGGCAGUCUCUAUGGGGGUGCCACAGGGUUCAAUUCUCGGCCCGACUCUUUUCUCUGUAUAUAUAUCAAUGAUGUUGCUCUUGCUGCGGGCGAUUCCCUGAUCCACCUCUACGCAGACGACGCCAUUCUGUAUACUUCUGGCCCUUCCUUGGACACUGUGCUAUCUAACCUCCAAACGAGCUUCAAUGCCAUACAACACUCCUUCUGUUGCCUCCAACUGCUCUUAAACGCUAGUAAAACCAAAUGCAUGCUUUUCAACCGUUCGCUGCCUGCACCCGCACGCCCGACUAGCAUCACCACCCUGGAUGGUUCCGACCUAGAAUAUGUGGACAUCUAUAAGUACCUAGGUGUCUGGCUCCUUCCAGACUCGUAUCAAACAUCUCCAAUCGAAAAUCAAAUCUAGAGUCGGCUUUCUAUUCCGCAACAAAGUCUCCUUCACUCACGCCGCCAAACUUACCCUUGUAAAACUGACUAUCCUACCGAUCCUCGACUUUGGCGACGUCAUCUACAAAAUAGCCUCCAAUACUCUACUCAGCAAACUGGAUGCAGUUUAUCACAGUGCCAUCCGUUUUAUUACUAAAGCACCUUAUACCACCCACCACUGCGACCUGUAUGCUCUAGUCGGCUGGCCCUCGCUACAUAUUCGUCGCCAGACCCACUGGCUCCAGGUCAUCUACAAGUCCAUGCUAGGUAAAGCUCCGCCUUAUCUCAGUUCACUGGUCACGAUGGCAACACCCACCCGUAGCACGCGCUCCAGCAGGUGUAUCUCACUGAUCAUCCCUAAAGCCAACACCUCAUUCGGCCGCCUUUCGUUCCAAUUCUCUGCUGCCUGUGACUGGAACGAAUUGCAAAAAUCGCUGAAGUUGGAGACUUUUAUCUCCCUCACCAACUUCAAACAUCUGCUAUCUGAGCAGCUAACCGAUCGCUGCAGCUGUACAUAGUCUAUCGGUAAAUAGCCCACCCAAUUUACCUACCUCAUCCCCAUACUGUUUAUAUUUAUUUACUUUUCUGCUCUUUUGCACACCAGUAUCUCUACCUGUACAUGACCAUCUGAUCAUUUAUAUUCCAGUGUUAAUUUGCAAAAUUGUAAUUAUUCGCCUACCUCCUCAUGCCUUUUGCACACAAUGUAUAUAGACUAUUUUUUUCCUUUUUUUCUACUGUGUUAUUGACUUGUUAAUUGUUUACUCCAUGUGUAACUCUGUGUUGUUGUCUGUUCACACUGCUAUGCUUUCUUGGCCAGGUCGCAGUUGUAAAUGAGAACUUGUUCUCAACUAGCCUACCUGGUUAAAUAAAGGUAAAAUAAAAAAAUAUCACAGGACCCACAUAAGCAAAAAGUUACACUAAUCUUAUUUUUAAUCAAUAUUACUUCA